RNAcentral lists this ribosomal RNA (253 nucleotides) under uncultured bacterium. RNAcentral's name for it is "partial 16S ribosomal RNA". It matches the Rfam family "Bacterial small subunit ribosomal RNA", at positions 524 to 776 of the family's 1533-position model. The record is from RNAcentral.
UACAGGGGGGGCAAGCGUUGUUCGGAAUUACUGGGCGUAAAGGGCUCGUAGGUGGCCAACUAAGUCAGACGUGAAAUCCCUCAGCUUAACUGGGGAACUGCGUCUGAUACUGGAUGGCUUGAGUUUGGGAGAGGGAUGCGGAAUUCCAGGUGUAGCGGUGAAAUGCGUAGAUAUCUGGAGGAACACCGGUGGCGAAGGCGGCAUCCUGGACCAACGCUGACACUGAUGAGCGAAAGCCAGGGGAGCAAACGGG